Molecule: ribosomal RNA, 2201 nt
Filed under: human gut metagenome
Description: bacterial LSU rRNA
Rfam family: Bacterial large subunit ribosomal RNA
Source: RNAcentral
AAGGGUGAUGGCGUGCCUUUUGUAGAAUGAACCGGCGAGUUACUGUAUGGAGCGAGGUUAAGCAGGAUAUGCGGAGCCGAAGCGAAAGCGAGUCUUAAGAGGGCGCGAGUUGCAUGCAGUAGACCCGAAACCGGGUGAUCUAGCCAUGACCAGGUUGAAGUUGGGGUAAAACCCGAUGGAGGACCGAACCGACCCCCGUUGAAACGUUGGCGGAUGAGUUGUGGCUAGGGGUGAAAUUCCAAUCGAACCCGGAGAUAGCUGGUUCUCCCCGAAAUAGCUUUAGGGCUAGCGUCGAGAGAAGAGUUGCGUGAAGGUAGAGCACUGAAUAUGUGAUGGCCCCAUCUCGGGGUACUGAGCAUAAUCAAACUGCGAAUGUCACGCCAACAUGCUCGGCAGUCAGACAGCGGGUGAUAAGGUCCGUUGUCAAGAGGGAAACAGCCCAGACCAUCAGCUAAGGUCCCAAAAUGUAUGCUAAGUGGAAAAGGAUGUGGAGAUGUACAGACAACUAGGAGGUUGGCUCAGAAGCAGCCAUCCUUUAAAGAGUGCGUAACAGCUCACUAGUCGAAUGACUCUGCGCCGAUAAUUUACCGGGGCUAAGCAUACUACCGAAGCUAUGGAUCCCAAGGGAUGGUAGGGGAGCGUUCCAUGAACGGAGAAGUACGACCGAAAGGACGUGUGGAGAUCAUGGAAGAGAGAAUGCCGGUGUGAGUAGCGGAACGUGGGUGAGAAUCCCACGCACCGAAAACCCAAGGUUUCCAGAGGAAGGUUCGUCCGCUCUGGGUAAGUCGGGACCUAAGGCGAGGCCGAAAGGCGUAGUCGAUGGACAACAGGUAGAGAUUCCUGUACCCGUAUAUAUGUGAAGGAAUGACGGAGAGAGGAAGCUGCAGCCAGCGGCUGGAAGAGCUGGUGCAAGCGAGAUAUCGGGAUGGCAGGCAAAUCCACCAUCCGAAACGAGAAGGCGUGAAGCGUACGGAAAGCUACGGCGAGUACGGAAGGCAGUGGAGGAACUUCCAAGAAAAGUUUCUAACGUUAAGUAUAUAUGGCCCGUACCGAAAAUGGACACACAUGGGUGAGGAGAGAAUCCUAAGGUGAGCGAGAGAACUAUAGCUAAGGAACUCUGCAAAAUGACUCCGUAACUUAGGGAGAAGGAGUGCUCAUAGAGAUAUGAGCCGCAGUGAAACGGCCCAAGCGACUGUUUACCAAAAACACAGCUCUCUGCUAAGCCGCAAGGCGAAGUAUAGGGGGUGACGCCUGCCCGGUGCUGGAAGGUUAAGGGGAGGGGUUAACGCAAGUGAAGCCCUGAACUGAAGCCCCAGUAAACGGCGGCCGUAACUAUAACGGUCCUAAGGUAGCGAAAUUCCUUGUCAGGUAAGUUCUGACCCGCACGAAAGGCGUAACGAUUUGGGCGCUGUCUCAGCUGUAGACUCGGUGAAGUCUUAGUACCUGUGAAGAUGCAGGUUACCCGCGACUAGACGGAAAGACCCCAUGGAGCUUCACUGCAGGUUGAUAUUGGGAUUUGAUGCAGCAUGUACAGGAUAGGUAGGAGGCAAAGAGAUGGAUACGCCAGUAUUCAAGGAGCCGCUGUUGGGAUACUACCCCUGUUGUAUUGGAUUUCUAACCGGACGACGUAGAGCCGUUGACGGGACAGUGUCAGUCGGGCAGUUUGACUGGGGCGGUCGCCUCCCAAAGAGUAACGGAGGCGCCCAAAGAUACCCUCAGCUUGGAUGGAAACCAAGCGCAGAGUGCAAAGGCAAAAGGGUGUUUGACUGCGAGACCCACAAGUCGAGCAGGGACGAAAGUCGGGCUUAGUGAUCCGGCGGUGCUGAAUGGAAAGGCCGUCGCUCAACGGAUAAAAGCUACCCUGGGGAUAACAGGCUGAUCUCCCCCAAGAGUUCACAUCGACGGGGAGGUUUGGCACCUCGAUGUCGGCUCAUCGCAUCCUGGAGCUGAAGUCGGUUCCAAGGGUUGGGCUGUUCGCCCAUUAAAGCGGUACGCGAGCUGGGUUCAGAACGUCGUGAGACAGUUCGGUCCCUAUCUGUCGUGGGCGCAGGAAAUUUGAGAAGAGCUGUCCUCAGUACGAGAGGACCGGGAUGGACGCAUCAAUGGUGGACCAGUUGUCACGCCAGUGGCAUAGCUGGGUAGCUAAAUGCGGAAGGGAUAAACGCUGAAGGCAUCUAAGUGUGAAACCCACUUCAAGAUGA